RNAcentral lists this ribosomal RNA (279 nucleotides) under uncultured bacterium. RNAcentral's name for it is "partial 16S ribosomal RNA". It matches the Rfam family "Bacterial small subunit ribosomal RNA", at positions 506 to 784 of the family's 1533-position model. The record is from RNAcentral.
UGCCAGCCGCCGCGGUAAUACGAAGGGGGCUAGCGUUGCUCGGAAUCACUGGGCGUAAAGCGCACGCAGGCGGCUUUUCAAGUCGGAUGUGAAAGCCCCGGGCUCAACCCGGGAACUGCAUUCGAAACUGGGAGGCUUGAGUUCGAGAGAGGGUGGUGGAAUUCCUGGUGUAGAGGUGAAAUUCGUUGAUAUCAGGAGGAACAUCGGCGGCGAAGGCGGCCACCUGGCUCGAUACUGACGCUCAUGUGCGAAAGCGUGGGGAGCAAACAGGAUUAGAUA